UUGAAUAAGCUUGGUUGGGUUGUUGCUGGCUCUUUUGGAGUAUGUGCACGCCUGACGACCAACUUUAUUACCACCUGUGCACCCUUUGUAGACUUGGAUACCUCUCGAGGAAACUCGGACUUUGAGGAUUGCUGUGCGCAAGCCGGCUUUCCUUUGCAUUUCCGGUCUAUGUUUUUAUAUACACACCGAGUAUGUUACAGAAUGUUAUUAAACAAGGCUUAAUUGCCUUUUAAACUUUAUA
This 241-nucleotide unclassified non-coding RNA is filed under the name uncultured Tricholoma. RNAcentral describes it as "sequence contains ITS1". Lineage: Eukaryota; Fungi; Basidiomycota; Agaricomycetes; Agaricales; Tricholomataceae. The record is from RNAcentral.